This 467-nucleotide ribosomal RNA is filed under the name uncultured bacterium. Its description in RNAcentral is "partial 16S ribosomal RNA". It matches the Rfam family "Bacterial small subunit ribosomal RNA", at positions 28 to 506 of the family's 1533-position model. The record is from RNAcentral.
GACGAACGCUGGCGGCGUGCUUAACACAUGCAAGUCGAACGGAAAGGCCCUGCUUUUGUGGGGUGCUCGAGUGGCGAACGGGUGAGUAACACGUGAGUAACCUGCCCUUGACUUUGGGAUAACUUCAGGAAACUGGGGCUAAUACCGGAUAGGAGCUCCUGCUGCAUGGUGGGGGUUGGAAAGUUUCGGCGGUUGGGGAUGGACUCGCGGCUUAUCAGCUUGUUGGUGGGGUAGUGGCUUACCAAGGCUUUGACGGGUAGCCGGCCUGAGAGGGUGACCGGCCACAUGGGGGUUGGGGACCGGCCCAGACUCCUCGGGGGGGGAGGGGGGGGGAAAUUUGAACAAGGGGGGGAAGCCGGAUGCAGCAACGCCGGGGGGGGGAGGAGGGCUUUGGGGUUGUAAACCGCUUUCCCCUGGGACGAAGGGGGGGGGAGGGUAAGGGGUAAAGGGGCCCCGGCUAACUACGU